GAACAAUUGAAGGUCUUUCCACCAGUUAAUAUCUAUUUUGAUAUUAAAAUAUAUAAAAUCAGUCUAAAAUGUCAGUUCAUAUGGCUUUAUGAUGUAUAGAUAUGAAUUUAAAGCAAAGGUCAAAAUCUAGAACGUCAAAUUAACCUAUGACCUUGACCUCAAUUUCAAGGUCACAAACUGAGGAUUUCAAAUCAAAAGACCCUAGUCUCUAAUAUGUAUGGUUAAUAAGUUAUAUCACUUUAAACAUAAUUUAAGAUAUGAUAGGGGCUAAAACUCCCAUUCAUUGUUUACGCACCCUUUCAACUAAAAUUAUUUAGUUACAACAUAUCGCAACUAACAAUUUAUACAAAAUAAUUUGUCGAUAUCUUAUAAGGUUAAUGAAAAUGAGUGAAAAUAAGACAAAUUCAAAAAUUAGAAUAUGACCUUGACCUUUGACCUUGACCUAAUUUUCAUUUUUUUGGACCAAGGACCUCAAAUCAAAAGAUCCUAGGUCUCUAUCACUUAUGGUGUUCCAGUUUAAAAUACAUUUUAAAAUUUCAAAUACAAAAAGGGAAAUAACUCUCAUAUGGAGCGUUCAUAUUGCUUCGGUCGAAAUUGGACAAAUCAUGCGAAGGAUAUAACGAGCAAUUUUAUAAAAUAAAUUUGUCGUAAUCUUUUACGGUUGCGAAGGAGAUGUGAGCACAAAGAAAACAGUGUUUGGGGAGAUAACUCCUACAAAGAAAAGUAUUCGGUUACGCAGGGUAAAUUUCAAAAGCGCAUAAACUGUUCGAUAUCAUAUACCAAAUAUCGAAGCGACAUAUUGCGAAACAAAUGUUUAUCGCAAGAACAAAAUUU
Molecule: long non-coding RNA, 834 nt
Filed under: Mytilus galloprovincialis (Mediterranean mussel)
Lineage: Eukaryota; Metazoa; Mollusca; Bivalvia; Mytilida; Mytilidae
Source: RNAcentral